GUUGCUAGCAUCCACAGCGCGGUCUGGUCACUCCCCGCACCCUGCUGCCGGCGUCGCCUCGGAAAAUUCGACCCACGAGCGCGAGAAUUCGCCGGCUCCGACCGUGAUUUUCCACGCCAGGGACGCGCCGCCAUUGAUCAUCGGCGUGACGACGACGAGGACGAGCAGCUCCCGAUUCCAAUCAUUGAAAUGUCGCCCUGCAUGCAGGUACUGUCUAGUAAUCACAUGAUGACA
RNAcentral lists this long non-coding RNA (234 nucleotides) under Setaria italica (foxtail millet). RNAcentral's name for it is "long non-coding RNA (SITA_LNC001778)". Lineage: Eukaryota; Viridiplantae; Streptophyta; Magnoliopsida; Poales; Poaceae. The record is from RNAcentral.